Long non-coding RNA from Pygocentrus nattereri (red-bellied piranha), 1272 nucleotides. RefSeq lists it as uncharacterized. The transcript has 4 exons. The record is from RefSeq and is a predicted model, not a curated record. NCBI's taxonomy places the organism in Eukaryota, Metazoa, Chordata, Actinopteri, Characiformes, Serrasalmidae.
CAAAUCAUUAGUGGAUCAGUUUUUAAACACCUCAGUUUCACUGCCCGACCCUGAAUUGUCCACCAAUUGACCGCUGAUGAAGGACUGGAGGAUGACUGCCUCAAACCCUGCAGAAGCAAAUUAGCUACUCUCUCUGACUUUACAUCUAUAAGGUCCAAGGUGCCUAAUACACACAGUGAGUGGACACAGUGAUUCACUUGUACCAGCAUAGCACACACUAACACACCACUGCAGUGUCACUGGAUAAAGUUUAAUUCCACAGGAUGCACUUCAUUCCAUGUUACAGCUGACCUGCUGUCUGUAAUUGAAGGCUCAGUGCAGGGUCUAUGCACACCUGCCAAUCCAUACAUAAAACGGCACCACUAGCGUAGCUACCACACUGGAAUUUAAAUGCACAUUUUGCCAGAAGCACAGCAAUAGAAAUGUUCAAAAGGCGCUGAAAUUUCCCUUUAAGGACAGUCAGUGAGGUUUAAACAGCGCCUGAUCCAGCUCAUCAGGAAUUCCUGCACUGCAGAAACGCGCGCGCAGUCACACUCAAUUCAAAUUUAAAAGCCAACGGAAAACCUGAAGGUCGUUUAACGUUCAAACCGACGGCGCAGGGAGUUCAGCGGGCCUUCAACGCUACAGGAGGACACUCGGAGUGACUAACUCUACCAGUCACAGGAGGAAACAGUCCAGCCACAGAUCCAGUAUUUACAGCCUUACAUUCAGUGCUGACAGUGUUCUAGGAGUAGUGCAGAGGGAGUGGGAGGAGCUGAUGGAGAAACUGGACAAGGUUCAGUCUGUACUUCAGGCCCAGCAGCUCAAAAUGGCCACAGAGAUCGAUGACCUCAGCCACACCAAGAGCGCUCUGGAGAAGCAGCUCAUCAAGCUCAUCAAGUUGUACAGGAGGAUGGAUGUGUAGGAGUGCUGCUGCAUGGACAUGGAGAAAUUCACCUGCGCUGAACUCACCAGCCCACAAGAACCUUCAACUUCACCAAGACAAAUACACAUGGCCAGCCCUCUGCCUGCCAGCACGCCUGGAGUUACAGUUAUACACAACACACCUCUCACAACCAGCCACCAUCAAAACAAAAUCAUAACCCACUAUACAGAUGUACACGUCUCACAAUUAGCCACCACCAUAUAACCCACACCCAGAAUUACAGGUACAGAAGCGAUUCUCAGUGUAAGUUCUUGGAAGUUAAUGCUCUAUCAAGUCUUAUUUAAUUCAUUAGUUAAUAUUAACCCUUGUGUGGUGUUCAUGUUUUUGUUACUCAGUGGUCUGCUGGA